This 252-nucleotide long non-coding RNA is filed under the name Vigna radiata. RNAcentral's name for it is "long non-coding RNA (VRAD_LNC003007)". The record is from RNAcentral. Lineage: Eukaryota; Viridiplantae; Streptophyta; Magnoliopsida; Fabales; Fabaceae.
GAAUAGUCAAAUGCGACUUCAAAAAUGAUACAAUGUUGUGGCCGUCAUGUAAGACUAAGCUAGUUGAGAGAUGUGUAUCGGGAGUUGUGCAUGAAGAGGCAUUGGGAGUUUGUUGCACAUGCAUUCUUGUUACAUCUUAUGGGGUGCACUACAUUUGCAGAUAAAUGCAACUUUUAUUGGUGUAUUGUAUUUGCAUCUAGGGGUGACAACAAGAUGGAGUGGGUGCAGGUUUCAUUAUACAUCCCCAUCCCA